RNAcentral lists this ribosomal RNA (465 nucleotides) under uncultured bacterium. RNAcentral's name for it is "partial 16S ribosomal RNA". It matches the Rfam family "Bacterial small subunit ribosomal RNA", at positions 28 to 507 of the family's 1533-position model. The record is from RNAcentral.
GACGAACGCUGGCGGCGUGCUUAACACAUGCAAGUCGAACGGAAAGGCCCUGCUUGCAGGGUACUCGAGUGGCGAACGGGUGAGUAACACGUGGGUGAUCUGCCCUUCACUUCGGGAUAAUCCUGGGAAACUGGGUCUAAUACCGGAUAGGAGCCAUUUUUAGUGUGAUGGUUGGAAAGUUUUUUCGGUGUAGGAUGAGCUCGCGGCCUAUCAGCUUGUUGGUGGGGUAAUGGCCUACCAAGGCGGCGACGGGUAGCCGGCCUGAGAGGGUGGACGGACACAUUGGGACUGAGAUACGGCCCAGAAGCCUACGGGAGGCAGCAGUGGGGAAUAUUGCACAAUGGGAGCAAGCCUGAUGCAGCGACGCCGCGUGGGGGAGGACGGAAUUCGGGUUGUAAACUCAUUUCGCUAGGGACGAAGCUUUUUGUGACGGUACCUAGAGAAGAAGCACCGGCUAACUACGUG